UGAAAUAGCAGAAAGCAAGUUUGGAAGAGGAGUUUUUUGUUUUUGUGUUUGUUUUUGUUUCCUUGUUUGUUUGUUUUUAAAUUGGUGAAGGAGUUCCUAUUAUUUAAUGUCACUAAGCCUUCGUAUCUCAUCUGUAAAAUAAGAAGGAUGAUUAUAGUCAUGAUGGUCAUGGUGGUGGUGGUAAUUCCAUGCCAGAACUAAGGUAAUUGCUUGCGUUUAUCAGCUUAUUUUAAUCCUUGCACCCUCUGAGGUAGUUACUACUACAGAUUAAGAAAUGGAAUAUAAGAGGUUCCAUGACUUGUCCAAGGUCAAACAGCCAGCCAAUAGCUGGGCCAGGGAUGAAUCCAGGAUGUUAAGCCCAGAACCUCAUUUCUAACCACUACUGAUGGGGUUGUAGAUAUCAAAUGAUAAAUGAAGUAUACAUAAAGUGCCUAGUAUAUACCACUCAAUGGAUGGAAGCUGUUAUUAUCAGCAGUUAUUUUUAGGACAGCUGGGCAGAGCAGUUUGAACAGAGAAGUGCUGUGCAUAUUUGGUUUUGUGUAGUGGGUGGAUUGCAGUGUUGAGGACUGCAGGCAGAGGAUGUUGGGACAAGGGUGCAUGAGGUGACUUAUGAAGAUCUGGACUAAGGCCCUGGUAACAUAGAUGGAAAAAGAGGACCAAGUAGGGAGACGAAAAGCAACCUCUUGGCAAGGUGUUCCUUAGGCAGGAAGUUAGUUGACAAAUGUGAUUCUUUCAAAGUGGAUUUUCACAAAAAUUACUCAUAAAGACUACUUCUAAAAAUGUACUAAAAAUUGAAACUCUCAACAACCUAUGUAUUUAGCAACACACAAGGUACAAAACACCAUCGCCAUCACCACCAAAAACAACUUGCAGCAAUUUCAUGAAUUAGAAGUUAUAUCAUGCAUAUUUAAUUUAUUUGGGAAAUUUUACACACAUAAGGUAUGUAGAAGGAUUAGGACUAAUCUAAGCAUCUUUGCAUUUGUCCUGUGUUUAUUUUAGAUAAAGUUAUGCUAUUUUAAAUAGACACAUUUUUUAUAUUUAAGUAUAUUCCAGAAUUUACUUUUACACAUAAAUGUAAUCAGUCCAAAGCAACUGUGAUCUAUAAAUUUAGCAUCAAUAAUUUUGACUCUAAAAUGAUCCUAGACUUGGAAAAGGAAGAUCCUGGCCUCCCCAUUCUCUUUCUACCCUCUUGAAGCCUGUGGGAACUGCUGGUAACAGGACCUAAAAUAACAAGUAUAUCUGGAAGGCUGUGGUCCGAGGCCAUUUUCCAUUUUUGCUAGCUAUAAUAGGGGUCUCUGGAACCAGAAGGAACACACAGCUCUUCUUAUGAUUGAAGAGGUUUAUGCUUGAGAUGAAACUAAAUUUUAUUUAGGCAAGAGAUACUCUUAUGCGUACAAAACAAAACAAAGAACAACACAAUGAUUCCUAGAGGCAAAAAGAACAAAACCAGAGUAACCUUGGGAGUAACUCUUGCUCAUGGAAACAGCUGCAUGGUUCAUGCCAAAUUCUGAAGCAACCUUCCUGUGAAGGCCCUUGGACACAGAACCUACGUGAUGCUGUACCCCUCAAGGAUUUAAGCUUACUGAAAAGAUAUACAGGAAGAAGCAACAAUCCGAGUAUCGACCACCCUUUCUCUGAAGUUUCUGUGUAAGUCAACGUAAUACAUGAAUACAACUUCUUAAAAAGUAGAGCCAAGCAACACAUAGAACCAGAAGAUCUAUUCUAAAGAUGGUGCUGGCAAGUUGGUGCUGGCUGUAGACAGGUUCAGAGCUUACACUGAAGAACAAUUGGGAAUCAGGAUCAAAUGUGUACUUACCGAAUCUGAAACUGCUACAUGAAUGAAACUUUCAAGAAUGGAAGAACUUAGCUGAUCCAUGACAUCAAUCAUAGGCCUGUCAUCAUCCUGUACAAAGGGUGGGCAGUUACUCUCCAUGGGGAAAUGAAUCCUUCCCACCCACCCAAUUGCCCUUGUUCAGUACAUGAAGCAGAAUAGCUUGCAAGAUAGUGAUAAGGGUUUUCUCACAGAAAAGUGAGUGCCGAGAUGGUGAAUGGCAGUAGAUAAAAUUCCCUGUGAUUCUGAGUUUAGUCUUUCAAUUUUCAGUGGAAGAUGGUUAGAGCUCCAAUUUCAUAUUGUAUUGAAAAAACAUGGACUUGAAUUUCAAAAAGUUGCACACGUAUAGCAGGAUUUAAACACCAGUGCCAUACAUCAUCCAUUGGAGUGUUCAUGUUGUCAUAAAUUUUAAGGAAUGGAAACACCACAAGAAUAUGGCUUGCCAGACCACAAAAUGGUACUAACUUAAGUCACUGGUCUGCUACAAUAAGUGAUAAAUUGUUGACUGUGAUUGAAUUUUAGUUUCAAAGAAAAUGCACUGGAGACUGACAGUUGGUACCUGUGUAUUCUGUGGUAUACUGUUGUGUGUAGCUAUUUGGUAAAAGAAGUAAAUUUCCAUCUACAGAAUAAAUAAGCCACAGGGAUGCAGCUUGGUGACUUUCAGUGAUAAUAACAUACUGCAUAUUUUAAAGGUGCUAAGAGAGUAGAUCUUAGAAGUUUUCAUUACAAGAAAAUAGUUCUAUAACUCUGUAUGGUGAUGGGUGUUAAUUAGACUUAUGGUGGGGAUCAUUUCACAGUGUAAACAACUAUAGACUUAUUAUGUCAUACCCUGAAACUAAUAUAAUGUUGUAUGUAAGUG
This is a long non-coding RNA of Canis lupus familiaris (dog), 2690 nucleotides long. RefSeq lists it as uncharacterized. The transcript is spliced from 4 exons. NCBI's taxonomy places the organism in Eukaryota, Metazoa, Chordata, Mammalia, Carnivora, Canidae. The record is from RefSeq and is a predicted model, not a curated record.